Molecule: ribosomal RNA, 420 nt
Filed under: uncultured bacterium
Lineage: Bacteria
Description: bacterial SSU rRNA
Rfam family: Bacterial small subunit ribosomal RNA
Source: RNAcentral
UGGGGAAUAUUGCGCAAUGGCCGAAAGGCUGACGCAGCGACGCCGCGUGGGGGAUGAAGCAUUUCGGUGUGUAAACCCCUGUUGCUCGGGACGAACAACUUCUUUCGAGAAGUCUGACGGUACCGGGUGAGGAAGCACCGGCUAACUCCGUGCCAGCAGCCGCGGUAAUACGGAGAGUGCGAGCGUUGUCCGGAAUCACUGGGCGUAAAGGGCGCGUAGGCGGUCUGUUAAGCGUGCGGUGAAAGCCUGGGGCUCAACCCCAGGUCUGCCGUGCGAACUGGCGGACUAGAGCACUGUAGAGGCAGGUGGAAUUCCGGGUGUAGCGGUGGAAUGCGUAGAGAUCCGGAAGAACACCGGUGGCGAAGGCGGCCUGCUGGGCAGUUGCUGACGCUGAGGCGCGACAGCGUGGGGAGCAAACAG